AGAGUUUGAUCAUGGCUCAGGACGAACGCUGGCGGCGUGCUUAACACAUGCAAGUCGAACGAGGCUCAUUCAGUAGCAAUACUGAUGAAGGCCUAGUGGCGAACGGGUGAGUAACACGUGAGAAACCUAUCCUGGUCUCUGGGAUAACAGUCGGAAACAACUGCUAAUACCGGAUGCCGUCGGAGCGCUGCAUGGCGCACUGACGAAAGGGUUACUGGAUCAGGAGGGUCUCGCGGCCUAUCAGCUUGUUGGUGGGGUAAUGGCCUACCAAGGCAUCGACGGGUAGCUGGUCUGAGAGGAUGAUCAGCCACACUGGGACUGAGACACGGCCCAGACUCCUACGGGAGGCAGCAGUGGGGAAUCUUGCGCAAUGGGCGAAAGCCUGACGCAGCAACGCCGCGUGCGGGAAGAAGGCCUUCGGGUUGUAAACCGCUUUCAGAAGGAACGAAACUGACGGUACUUUCAGAAGAAGGUGCGGCCAACUACGUGCCAGCAGCCGCGGUGACACGUAGGCACCAAGCGUUGUCCGGAUUUAUUGGGCGUAAAGAGCUCGUAGGCGGUUCGAUAAGUCGGGUGUGAAAACUUUGGGCUCAACCCAAAGCGUGCAUUCGAUACUGUUGUGACUAGAGUUCGGUAGGGGAGUGGGGAAUUCCUAGUGUAGCGGUGAAAUGCGCAGAUAUUAGGAGGAACACCGGUGGCGAAGGCGCCACUCUGGGCCGAAACUGACGCUGAGGAGCGAAAGCGUGGGUAGCAAACAGGAUUAGAUACCCUGGUAGUCC
Molecule: ribosomal RNA, 779 nt
Filed under: uncultured bacterium
Lineage: Bacteria
Description: bacterial SSU rRNA
Rfam family: Bacterial small subunit ribosomal RNA
Source: RNAcentral